Long non-coding RNA from Mustela lutreola (European mink), 5452 nucleotides. RefSeq lists it as uncharacterized. The transcript has 13 exons. The record is from RefSeq and is a predicted model, not a curated record. Lineage: Eukaryota; Metazoa; Chordata; Mammalia; Carnivora; Mustelidae.
GUCACCAGGCAACCCCACGGUGACCUCGUUCCCUCCGCGGUCCCGUUACGGCCGGGCUUGGAGGGCGCUACCCGGAGGGCGGCGGGCGGCUGGGGGCGGGGAUUCCCGGGCACACGAGCGCGCGCGCGCGCGGCAACACUAUCCGGUCCACUCCGUCCCGGGACCGGCUCGAGCGGCCGCUGCCCCAGCACGUCACCCCACCAUCCCCAGCCCGGUACGGACCCGGACGCGGUCGCGCACCGCUACCUGCAGCUAGGUGCAGUGCUCCUUUGGUGAGGAUCUCCUACCUCCCAAUGUCCUGGACCUUCCUACUGGUGGAGGAGCAAAGAGGAUACUCACGGACUCUUCCGCUCAGCCCUGCAGUGUUUGAACAUCUGCUAGAAGCCAGCCCUCUGCAGGGUCUUUGAGGAGGAAGAAGGAAAUACACCAUUGGUCUGAAAUGCCAGAAGCCUGCUGGCUGUUUUGUUUCCUGCCCCUUUAGAAGGGGAUGAAAUACCAGCCUCCGAGCACCAGAUGCCUAUUAGUCUUUGUCGCUGAGCAAGAAGAAUAGAGAGUCCAUGGUAUUCACUUUGUUUGGCCUGCCAGAUUUUUAUUUAUUUAUUUGAGAGAGAGAGAGUGAGCCAGUAGAGAGGACAAGCAGGGGGAGCAGCAGAGGGAGAGGGAUUCCAGGACCCCAGCAUCAUGACCUGAGCCAAAGGCAGACGCUUAACCAACUGAGCCACCCAGGUGAACCCGCUGAGUAAAUUUCAUACCAAAAUAUUAUGUAGUAAUUAUGAAUUAUAUUUUUAAAGGAUUUUUAAUGAUGGAAACAUUCAUUAUAUGGUAAGUGAAAAUAAAACAAUAUAAAAUUGUAUAUAUCAUACUGUUUUUUUUUUUAAUGCAUAGACAAAAGCCUGAGGGGGUGAAAAUGCACAUAUGUAUUAAUGUGAUUUGAGGAGGUAAAAUUACAGGUAAUAUUAAAACUUACUUGGUAAAGUUUAAUAUUUUCCAGAAAUACUAUAAAGCACAGUUUUUUUAUGUAAUCAGAAUGAACAAAAAUGUUGUAGUUUUGCGAUUAUAACUGACCUCUAACAGUUGUCCUGUUCUGUGCCUCAAGGGCACUGGUAGUCAGCCCCUGUGUUAACACAAGGGCUCCUUAAGUCAGCAUGGAACAGUCUGUAAGACCACGAGGUGAGGAGAAAACAGGCAGCUGGCUGUCCCCGUAGAGUCCAGUGGGUCCAUGCUGCUCUGGGGCCCUAAGAGUCCUUUGAUGGCCACUGGCUGACACAAACAAAAGUGAGUCUUCUGAUUUGGGUUAUGGUUUAUUGGUAUUUGUGCAUGACCAAUACAUAUUCCUGAAGAUUUCAUUUUUAGGUAAGUUAUGUAAAACAGGUUACCUUCUACAUAAAUUAUUAAAGAUUAUUACAAUUUGAUAGUUACCAAGAAAAGGGGAUUAUGUCACGUUUCCACACAUUUUCCAGCCUUUCAAAUCCAAGUAUGGUGCCUCAGCCCUCACUCAUCUUAGACGUUCUUCGCUGGAGCUUCUGCUUGUCGCCCAUCCCUUCUUGUUUGGCUCAGUGGCUCCUGAUUCCCCACUGUUUCCCCCUGGCAUCCUUGUCAUCACCUGCGAGCUGAAGACUUCUCUCACCAGUGCCUUCCUAAAUCCCCAGGGAUUGCGAAGCAACGCAGCUGGCCUAACAGAAUUGACUGAAGAUCGGAGGUUGGCAUGGGGCCUUUGCAUGCUGGAAAGGAAAAAGGCAGAAGGCAGUGGGGUCUCAGCAUAUGACCAUCACAGAUACUGCCUCUCUUCCGGCCCAUGUGGGCCUUUUUGCAAAUCCCUGGCCUCUGCUUCCUACAAACCAGCGCCUCUUCUCCCAUCUUUGCCUCUCACUGAGUCCCCACUCCUUGGUCCCCCAUGCUACUUCUUACCCAGUGGAGGAAACCCCAGGAACCCACAGCACAACAAAUGUGCCUCCCUGUCCAAGGAAGGUAGCUUUUUUCCAUAGAGAAAUUUUAGCCUUGUUCUGUCCAAACCACUCCUACCUGGGUGAAGUGUAAGCCUAAAGUCUACUAAAGCGUUUUCCCAUUAAAAAAGAAAAAUUACUUCCAAGGAAAAAUUCUGCAGUUACUACCUAAAGUAAGGAGCAUCAACAGCAAAGAGUCUUUAAAACAGUAAGGCUCUCCCACUCCCCCUCUAGAGCCCACGUGUCCUCUCAUUAAGUCCUUUAUUAAAGUUGCUGACACAGUGGCUGUUUACCAACCAGGAUGGAAACAUUUUAGUAUUUUUGUAACCAACAAUGUUUCAGUAUUUUAAUAGCUGAGGGCUUACCUGCUGCUUGUCAGCCCUGAACAUAGAGAUACAGAAUUCUAGAAUCCCUGAGUUGGGAGAUAUAAGCAGUCUCUAAAAAAAUCUUCUGAAUGAUGCCUCUGGAUGAGGAGCUCCUCAGAAGCGAAGACUGCCAUGCCUCCCGCAGUGGCUGGCACCCUGCAGAUGCUCUGUGACUGAUGACCGGUUCAACAAGAGGACGAGCCAACACUCACUGCUGUUUCAUUGAUAGAUUGGCGCCCCCUGGUCUUUUCUGGUCAAGUGUUAGGUAGCCCAUUUUCAUGGAAAGCAGCUGGUGAUUCUGUGGAUCUCUCCUAUCUUUGUGCAGGAAAAUGUGACUUUUAGGAAUUUUACUCUUUUGUUUUUUGAUAACUGUUCAGAGCAAAUGUCUGGAUCUCUCUUUAUAUUCUAUCACACAUAUCAUGUUAGAUAUGUCGUAUAUGUGUUAACAUGGGUCUAUUAUAUACAUUUCUGUUCUGAUUUCUAUCUUCUUUCAGGUAACUGUCUUUUCCUAUCACAAUGCCUUAGCCUCAAAAUUUUCUACUAUUCUUUAGGCUAUAGUCGUAGCAGAAAAGAAUCACUAGCUGGGAUGGGGAGGCAGAAGGUACAGCAAAACCAAGAAGAGUGUAGCACAGACAGGAGGGGCACAGAAGCCUCAGUAGAACUGAGCUCUCCUUCCCUUGGCCUUCAGCUAAGACCAGUCCUCUCUUGUGGAAUCAUUUACAUGGACCUUGAACACCAGAGCUCUGCAGACGGUGGGGCAACUACACAUGCUCUGGGGACAGGGGACAGCUGGGACAGCCUGGAGUGAUUGGUGCCCAAGCCUGUUGGAGAAAGUAGUUCUGCCACAGGCUCAAGCUUAUAAUGACAAGGUUCUCUAGGGACGCAUACCAGCUGUGCUGUACUUCAAAUUAGUGGAAUCUAGCAUGACCGGCAAGAUGUUUAUUUUGUGAAACUGCCUCUGCAUCUCUUUUGGGGCUGAAUUUGCUAUAUUCUCCAUGUUUAGUAUGACAAUGAUUACUGUUGCUGUUAAUGAUAAUGAGAACAAAAUGCAAAGUCUUUCACCAAAAUUAUGUCUACUUCUCAUGGCACUACCACGAUGUGGACACUACUAUUUUCAUCUUACAGAUGCUGAUCACACAGAAAAUAGGAGAGCCAGGCAAUGAAUAGAUAUAAAAUAUAUACCCCUUCCUCUCUACAUGGAUUCGUGCCAAGUAACACAAGAGGCCUGCUUGCUCUUGACCGAAGGGCAAGGGCGAAACUGUAGGCUCACACUCUUCCCUCCUCCCAAGAGAUAGGGGAGGUUUCCAAGUUUCCAAUUUCCUUCUGUUUUCAACAAAAUAGGAACCUUACUAUUAUCUCAUUCAAGCAUAACACAGAGAAGUAGGGCGGUGGUGGAAAGGCUCAAGAAAAGGUCCAGUUCUAAUGCUGCCGAAAUAAGAAGGAUGGGAAAAUUAGGGCUGCCCUCCGCAUCUCCCACCCCGAACACGGGGCUACCUACAUAUUCAGCCUGCUGUGUAGGAAUCACAUGGUCUGGUUACGUUAUGGAAACAACUUCGUGGUUGCAAACAGUCACAACUGCCAGCCACACUGGACUGAGCUUACUUGACCAUCAGAGAAAUGCCCACGUGAACACAUACAGACAUACAUGUAGUUUAUGUGUCCAGUCGGUUCUCAUUAUUCACAGAAUCUGUAUUUGUGAAUCCACCUGUUUGCCCAGAUUUAUUUGUCCCCCCGCCCCCAGUCCAUCUUUGGGGCACUUUGGCAGUCAUUCAUAGGUAGGCAGAGAGCAGUGAAAAACUGGAGUCCCUGAUACAGUUGCACUUUCUUCCCCGCUGAGCUGAACAGGACAACAUGCUGACUCCUUAUUUCAGCUCUCAUCUGGUCAACCAGUGUCCUUUUCAUGUCUAUUUAGUGCCUCCUUAUGUGUUUUUUGUUGAUGAAUUUGCUGUUUCUAAUGACCUCCAAGUAUCUGAAAUGCUGUCUAGUGUGCCCGAGCGUGUGUGGGACGAUGACGUGCCCUCCAGAGAAAAUCCAUGUGUCAGCAAUGAUUCGAUUGCGCCAGCAUGAUGAUGUUGCUUAGCUGCUGCGAAGAGGGAGCGCCCAUGGGCUAUAACGGUUUGCGAGUGUUACUGCAAAAGCACUUACUUGGAAUACGGACUGCAUUCCGUGCAACGUUUUUACUCCAGAAAUCUGUCCAAGAGUUUGUUAUCUAGUUGAUAAAUGAACUUUUGGACAUAAUAUUCUGUCCAAAUCUCUUUGGCUGUGUCAACAUCGACAGUAUCCUUAACCAACAACAACUGACUGAGUGAGACCCUGUCAAAGACAAACCUGAGUCCUCCAGAUCCAUUCCCCUCCUGCUGCCAUGAGGGAGUAAAGAUCUCCACUUACAAUUUUUAUUAGAGUGGGGCUAAAGGGAAUGCUGCCAGAUGAAAACCCAGGCCUACAAAAAAAUAAUAAAAAGCAUUGGAAAUGGAAGAAGUUUCUGUGGCUGAGGUCAAAGAGGUUGCUGCCACUGUUCUCCUCCAGGAUUUUGAUGGAUUCCUGUCUGACACUGAGGUCUUUCAUCCAUAUUGCAACCAGAACAUGAGACGAGACAGAAAAUUUAAGCAUCACAAACGCGAACUUGCUUAGUGUGGCAGAAUGCCUGAGGGAGCCGGGAGAUGCUGAGAGAGGGAAGGAGAGACUAGAGAAAGGAUGAGGAGAAAGGACCACAGAGAGGACAUAUGGGACACAGUGUGAAGGUACCUAUCUGCAAGCCAGGAAGUGAGAUCACAUCAGAAACCAACCUGAUGGCACCUUGACCUUGGACUUCAGUUAUCUCCAGAAGUGGAAGAAAUGAAUGAUCUGGAGGACAUGACAUUGUGACACAAGCAAGACUCCCCGGCACAUCCUGACUCAGGAAAAAAAGGCUACGUCACCGCAGUCCUUUAUGACAAGGAGAACAUCUCACUGCCUCUACCCUUACUACCUUCAUCUGCUCAAAUGUUCUCCAUGGAUCCACAACCAACAAAACAGACAUCUGUAGGAGGCACAGCAAAGACCCACGACAGGGCCUUUGUUCACUCUCACCCCUGCUGUCCUCACAUGGAGGCGGCGAGUGUCUAUGAGACACAGAAGCCGACUUGACAGUCCACUGUGGUCCAG